AAAAAUGGCGGCACCGCUACACAUUAGCUUUAUCUGCAACAGUUGGAAAUAGAGAUAAUAGAGGAAUAGAGAGCAAAAGUUCAAAUUCUUGCCAUGGGUUUUGUUUUCAAGUGCAAGACAUAGCGUGGCGUGAGUUCUAAGGUUUGUGUCUUUCUUUUUCAUUCGUUUGAUGGGAAAGUUGUGUGGUUGUUGAUGUUGUUUUUUAUGCUAUCAUGGGAACAAGAAAGGGUUUUCUUUCAUGAGUUCGACGGAAUGUGCUAAAGCUAAAGCCUGGGAUGUUGGGUUGGUUUUAAGGAUGCAAGCUAAAGAAUCUUGUAGAGUCAUGUCUAAUCAUGAAGCUUCUCAGUUACUAUCAUCCUCUUCUAGUAGU
Molecule: unclassified non-coding RNA, 370 nt
Filed under: Hevea brasiliensis (rubber tree)
Lineage: Eukaryota; Viridiplantae; Streptophyta; Magnoliopsida; Malpighiales; Euphorbiaceae
Source: RNAcentral